RNAcentral lists this ribosomal RNA (467 nucleotides) under uncultured bacterium. Its description in RNAcentral is "partial 16S ribosomal RNA". The stretch from base 50 to 467 matches the Rfam family "Bacterial small subunit ribosomal RNA", at positions 39 to 507 of the family's 1533-position model. The record is from RNAcentral.
GGGGGGGGGGGGGGGGGGGGGGGGGCGGGGGGGGGGGAGGGGGGGGGCCGGGGUGUGGGGGGUGCUCGGGUGGCGAACGGGGGGGUAACACGGGGGUGACCUGCCCUUGGCGUUGGGAUAGCUUCAGGAAACGGGGGCUACUACCGGGUAGGAGCUCCUGCUGCAGGGUGGGGGUUGGAAAGUUUCGGCGGUUGGGGAUGGACUCGCGGCUUAUCAGCUUGUUGGUGGGGUAGUGGCUUACCAAGGCUUUGACGGGUAGCCGGCCUGAGAGGGUGACCGGCCACAUUGGGACUGAGAUACGGCCCAGACUCCUACGGGAGGCAGCAGUGGGGAAUAUUGCACAAUGGGCGGAAGCCUGAUGCAGCAACGCCGCGUGCGGGAUGACGGCCUUCGGGUUGUAAACCGCUUUCGCCUGUGACGAAGCGUGAGUGACGGUAAUGGGUAAAGAAGCACCGGCUAACUACGUG